GUACAUCUUUCCAUAGAUGCUGCCUGGCUUGCUGAGUUCCUCCAGUAUUUUGUGUGUGUUACAUAAACUAGGCCGUCUUCAGCAUGGUCUCCUCAAGGAAAAAUCUUGCCUGAGAAAUCUGUUGAAAUUCCUUGAAGAAAUAACAAGCAGGAUGGACAAUGGAGUAUCAGUUGACUUGUACUUGGACUUUCAGAAGGCCUUUGACAAGGGGUGCUGGAAUAAAUGGCAUUAAAGUUGCAGAAUGGAUGUCAGAUGUAGAAUGCUCUGCAGUUCACUUCAGUUUAUACUAAAGAUGAACUCGAAAAACUCACACUCUCUGGAAAGAUCGAGGGGAGCAAACCUACAGGAAGACCUCGGCUUAUGUACAUCAAAAGCCCAGCCAGGUGGCUACACGUGGAGGAAAUGGAAGUCAUCCAAAGAACAAGGGAUAGAUCAGUAUGGAAAACCAUGGUCACCAACAUCCGCGUCAGAUAUGGU
Long non-coding RNA from Hypanus sabinus (Atlantic stingray), 477 nucleotides. RefSeq lists it as uncharacterized. The record is from RefSeq and is a predicted model, not a curated record. NCBI's taxonomy places the organism in Eukaryota, Metazoa, Chordata, Chondrichthyes, Myliobatiformes, Dasyatidae. The transcript is spliced from 3 exons.